GGCCCUGCGGGGUCUCGCACAGGCUCCAGGGCCCUUGGGGUCCCGGAGGGUCCAGCAGAAGGGUCUGUGUUUUGCCCGGGGUCCUGAGAGCGUGCUGGGGAUAGCAGGGGUGGAGUGCAGGUGUGCCCAUGGGCGCCCCGGGUCCAGGGCCCGCGGAGCCGCUCUCGGGGCGGAGACCUUGCCCCCAGGGGCACGUCAGCGGUCCUGAGGUGAGGCUCCUGCAGAGCACUCUGGGCCGCGUGUGUCUCUCCCUGCGUGGGCAGGCAGUGUCGGUGGCCGGAGCGAGGGUGUUUUCCCAUCGGGGUGAGAGGGAGAGCCCCAGGGUGGGCCUGGGGCGGAAUCGGACUCGGGGUUGGGGUGGACUCUUCUGAAGCUGGGAGGGGUGCGGGUGGGCAGGGCCUUAGGGAGCCUGAGGGAGGUGCGGUUCCUGGGGGAAGGGUGUGGCGCCCCAGCGAAGGGGCAGUGCUGGCCACUCCGUGUGGCGCUUUGGCUGCUGGCACCCAGUGAGAGGGGGGAGGCCAGGGACAGGUGGCAGCCAGGCUGCCCACAGGCCCUGGGCGGUGGGGGCCGGCCCUGUGCCUUGGCAACUGGGCCCCUUGCUGAGGCGUGCUUGCGCGUGUCCGUUGUCGCCCUCACCCAGCUGCUGCGGCGGAGAAACGGAGGCCAGCGCGGGGAGCGGAAGCUGGAGCCUGUCGGGAGCGACCCCGGGAAGGCCAGUCCCUCCUGCCGGUGGGAGGCGUGUUGGCGUGCGGCCGGUGGCGGGAUCGAUGGCCACCUGGUAGGCGAUGCUGCUGCGGCGGAGAAACGGAGGCCAGCGCGGGGAGCGGAAGCCGGAGCCUGUCGGGAGCGACCCCGGGAAGGCCAGUCCCUCCUGCCGGAGGGAGGCGUGUUGGCGUGCGGCCGGUGGCGGGAUCGAUGGCCACCUGGUAGGCGAUGGUAAGCGGCAGUGGCCUGCGCCAAGGUAGCCCCCGGGGGCGGUGUGUGGCGCCCGGACCCGCACCCUCUGCUCCCGGGGGUGGAGCUGACCUGCUUGCCCGCGGUUGGGCUCGGGAGCCUGCGGCCGCGGCCAGGAGGGAGCUGGCUGGCCGUCCCGGCGGUGGGGGCUGUGGCGGUGGCCGUCCCGCGGGUGUGCCCGUGCUCGGAUCGAUGAUGACACCCACAAACGCAUU
This 1169-nucleotide long non-coding RNA is filed under the name Sus scrofa (pig). RNAcentral's name for it is "lncRNA (ENSSSCG00070018710.1)". Lineage: Eukaryota; Metazoa; Chordata; Mammalia; Artiodactyla; Suidae. The record is from RNAcentral.